RNAcentral lists this ribosomal RNA (253 nucleotides) under uncultured bacterium. RNAcentral's name for it is "partial 16S ribosomal RNA". It matches the Rfam family "Bacterial small subunit ribosomal RNA", at positions 524 to 776 of the family's 1533-position model. The record is from RNAcentral.
UACGUAGGGUGCAAGCGUUAAUCGGAAUUACUGGGCGUAAAGCGUGCGCAGUCGGUUAUUUAAGUCGGAUGUGAAAUCCCCGGGCUCAACCUGGGAAUUGCAUUCGAUACUGGAUGGCUAGAGUUCGGCAGAGGGAAGUGGAAUUUCAGGUGUAGCGGUGAAAUGCGUAGAUAUCUGAAGGAACAUCAGUGGCGAAAGCGACUUCCUGGACCAGAACUGACGAUCAGGCACGAAAGCGUGGGGAGCAAACAGG